GCAACCCUUAUCCUUUGUUGCCAGCGGUUCGGCCGGGAACUCAAAGGAGACUGCCAGUGAUAAACUGGAGGAAGGUGGGGAUGACGUCAAGUCAUCAUGCCCUUACGACCAGGGCUACACACGUGCUACAAUGGCAUAUACAAAGAGAAGCGACCUCGCGAGAGCAAGCGGACCUCAUAAAAGUAUGUCGUAGUCCGGAUUGGAGUCUGCAACUCGACUCCAUGAAGUCGGAAUCGCUAGUAAUCGUAGAUCAGAAUGCUACGGUGAAUACGUUCCCGGGCCUUGUACACACCGCCCGUCACACCAUGGGAGUGGGUUGCAAA
RNAcentral lists this ribosomal RNA (323 nucleotides) under Klebsiella pneumoniae. RNAcentral's name for it is "bacterial SSU rRNA". It matches the Rfam family "Bacterial small subunit ribosomal RNA", at positions 1098 to 1421 of the family's 1533-position model. The record is from RNAcentral. Lineage: Bacteria; Pseudomonadati; Pseudomonadota; Gammaproteobacteria; Enterobacterales; Enterobacteriaceae.